RNAcentral lists this ribosomal RNA (484 nucleotides) under uncultured bacterium. RNAcentral describes it as "partial 16S ribosomal RNA". It matches the Rfam family "Bacterial small subunit ribosomal RNA", at positions 30 to 507 of the family's 1533-position model. The record is from RNAcentral.
AUUGAACGCUGGCGGAAUGCUUUACACAUGCAAGUCGAACGGCAGCACGGGGGCAACCCUGGUGGCGAGUGGCGAACGGGUGAGUAAUACAUCGGAACAUGCCCGGUCGUGGGGGAUAACGUAGCGAAAGUUACGCUAAUACCGCAUACGAUCUGAGGAUGAAAGCGGGGGACCUUCGGGCCUCGCGCGAUCGGAGCGGCCGAUGUCAGAUUAGGUAGUUGGUGGGGUAAAGGCCUACCAAGCCGACGAUCUGUAGCUGGUCUGAGAGGACGACCAGCCACACUGGGACUGAGACACGGCCCAGACUCCUACGGGAGGCAGCAGUGGGGAAUUUUGGACAAUGGGCGCAAGCCUGAUCCAGCCAUUCCGCGUGCAGGACGAAGGCCUUCGGGUUGUAAACUGCUUUUGUAUGGAACGAAAAGGCUCUGGCUAAUACCUGGGGCUCAUGACGGUACCGUAAGAAUAAGCACCGGCUAACUACGUG